Molecule: ribosomal RNA, 396 nt
Filed under: uncultured bacterium
Lineage: Bacteria
Description: bacterial SSU rRNA
Rfam family: Bacterial small subunit ribosomal RNA
Source: RNAcentral
CUACCCUUGACAUGGCAGGAAGCCCGGAGAGAUUUGGGAGUGCUCGAAAGAGAACCUGCACACAGGUGCUGCAUGGCUGUCGUCAGCUCGUGUCGUGAGAUGUUGGGUUAAGUCCCGCAACGAGCGCAACCCUUGUCAUUAGUUGCUACGCAAGAGCACUCUAAUGAGACUGCCGGUGACAAACCGGAGGAAGGUGGGGAUGACGUCAAGUCCUCAUGGCCCUUAUGGGUAGGGCUUCACACGUCAUACAAUGGUACACACAGAGGGCCGCCAACCCGCGAGGGGGAGCUAAUCCCGGAAAGUGUAUCGUAGUCCGGAUUGUAGUCUGCAACUCGACUACAUGGAGUUGGAAUCGCUAGUAAUCGCGGAUCAGCAUGUCGCGGUGAAUACGUUCCC